GAAGGGCACCACCAGGAGUGGAGCCUGCGGCUUAAUUUGACCCAACACGGGAAAUCUCACCAGGCCCGGACACCGGAAGGAUUGACAGAUUAACAGCUCUUUCUUGAUUCGGUGGGUGGUGGUGCAUGGCCGUUCUUAGUUGGUGGAGCGAUUUGUCUGGUUAAUUCCGGUAACGAACGAGACUCUAGCCUGCUAAAUAGGCGUCGUUAUUUAGGUGUGCGCGGCCUCGUGUCGCGCAACUCACUGACGACGUAUUAAAAUUCUUCUUAGAGGGACCGGCGUCUUCGAGCCGCACGAGAUUGAGCAAUAACAGGUCUGUGAUGCCCUUAGAUGUCCUGGGCCGCACGCGCGCUACACUGAAGGAAUCAGCAUGUUCUCCCUGGCCUAGAGGCCCGGGCAACCCGCUGAAACUCCUUCGUGCUGGGGAUUGGGGUUUGCAAUUAUCCCCCAUAAACGAGGAAUUCCUAGUAAGCGCGAGUCAUAAGCUCGCGUUGAUUACGUCCCUGCCCUUUGUACACACCGCCCGUCGCUACUAUCGAUUGAG
Molecule: ribosomal RNA, 544 nt
Filed under: Chitinophaga agrisoli
Lineage: Bacteria; Pseudomonadati; Bacteroidota; Chitinophagia; Chitinophagales; Chitinophagaceae
Description: SSU rRNA
Rfam family: Eukaryotic small subunit ribosomal RNA
Source: RNAcentral